Molecule: ribosomal RNA, 458 nt
Filed under: uncultured bacterium
Lineage: Bacteria
Description: partial 16S ribosomal RNA
Rfam family: Bacterial small subunit ribosomal RNA
Source: RNAcentral
CCUACGGGAGGCAGCAGUGAGGAAUAUUGGUCAAUGGGCGAGAGCCUGAACCAGCCAAGUCGCGUGAGGGAGUACUGCCCUAUGGGUUGUAAACCUCUUUUGUCGGGGAGCAAAAGCCGGACGUGUCCGGCUGUGAGAGUACCCGAAGAAAAAGCAUCGCCUAACUCCGUGCCAGCAGCCGCGGUAUUACGGAGGAUGCGAGCGUUUUCCGGAUUUAUUGGGUUUAAAGGGUGCGCAGGCGGAUUUUUAAGUCAGCGGUAAAAUCGUGGGGCUCAACCCCAUCCAGCCGUUGAAACUGGGGAUCUAGAGUGUGCGAGAGGUAUGCGGAAGGCGUGGUGUAGCGGUGAAAUGCAUAGAUAUCACGCAGAACCCCGAUUGCGAAGGCAGCAUACCGGUGCACAACUGACGCUCAGGCACGAAAGCGUGGGUAUCGAACAGGAUUAGAUACCCUUGUAGUC